This 810-nucleotide ribosomal RNA is filed under the name uncultured Prevotella sp. RNAcentral's name for it is "bacterial SSU rRNA". It matches the Rfam family "Bacterial small subunit ribosomal RNA", at positions 108 to 917 of the family's 1533-position model. The record is from RNAcentral. Lineage: Bacteria; Pseudomonadati; Bacteroidota; Bacteroidia; Bacteroidales; Prevotellaceae.
GAGUAACGCGUAUCCAACCUUCCCAUAACUAAGGAAUACCCCGUAGAAAUGCGGCCUAAUCCCUUAUGGUCUCUUAUGCCUGUCAUGGGAAUAAGAGUAAAGAUUUAUCGGUUAUGGAUGGGGAUGCGUCUGAUUAGCUUGCUGGCGGGGUAACGGCCCACCAGGGCAUCGAUCAGUAGGGGUUCUGAGAGGAAGGUCCCCCACAUUGGAACUGAGACACGGUCCAAACUCCUACGGGAGGCAGCAGUGAGGAAUAUUGGUCAAUGGGCGAGAGCCUGAACCAGCCAAGUAGCGUGCAGGAUGACGGCCCUAUGGGUUGUAAACUGCUUUUUAAGGUGAAUAAAGAGGGGCACGCGUGCCCUGUUGCAUGUAGCCUUAGAAUAAGGACCGGCUAAUUCCGUGCCAGCAGCCGCGGUAAUACGGAAGGUCCGGGUGUUAUCCGGAUUUAUUGGGUUUAAAGGGAGCGUAGGCCGCAGGUUAAGUGUGUUGUGAAAAGCAGUCGCCCAACGUCUGCCUUGCAGCGCAAACUGUCCUGCUUGAGUGCGCACAACGCAGGCGGAAUUCGUCGUGUAGCGGUGAAAUGCUUAGAUAUGACGAAGAACUCCGAUUGCGAAGGCAGCUUGCGGGAGCGCAACUGACGCUGAAGCUCGAAAGUGCGGGUAUCGAACAGGAUUAGAUACCCUGGUAGUCCGCACGGUAAACGCUGGAUGCCCGUUUUUGGCUUAUUUUAAGUCAGAGACCAAGCGAAAGCAUUAAGCAUCCCACCUGGGGAGUACGCCGGCAACGGUGAAACUCAAAGGAAUUGACGGA